RNAcentral lists this ribosomal RNA (253 nucleotides) under uncultured bacterium. RNAcentral's name for it is "partial 16S ribosomal RNA". It matches the Rfam family "Bacterial small subunit ribosomal RNA", at positions 524 to 777 of the family's 1533-position model. The record is from RNAcentral.
GACAGAGGUGCCAAGCGUUAGGCGGAAUCACUGGGCUUAAAGCGUGUGUAGGCGGAUUUGUAAGUACCUUGUGAAAUCCCACGGCUCAACCGUGGAACUGCUCGGUAUACUGCUUAUCUUGAGCCACUUAGGGGCUACCGGAACAAAUGGUGGAGCGGUGAAAUGCGUAGAUAUCAUUUGGAACGCCAAUGGUGAAAACAGGUAGCUGGGAGUGUGCUGACGCUGAGGACGAAAGCCAGGGGAGCGAACGGGG